CCUAGCCCUCCGCUUGCCGCCUCACCUCACCUUCCCCGGUGAGCGCCCUCUCUCACCUUAGCCAAACUGCCUUCUUCCCAGGGCUUAGCUGGUCUCUUCUCUUGGUCUCCGGUGCCUCCUUUCAUACCAGGGAGGAAACGUCCCCAAACAGACCUUCCUUUUGAGCGAUAUGGUCCCCCAAAGAACUAUAGGCAAAAUGAAACUCAGAAUUUGGGGUCUGACUUAACCAGAACUUCUGCCCUCCUGGGCAGUUUUGUUUCUCUGGAGCUUUCCCCCUAGAAGCUGAGAGCACUUGAAAGAAGCUACUUCUGGGCCUUAGGCUUCCACCAGGGGUCCUGGGACCCCAUCCCUAGCCUAUCAUGCUUUGACACUUGUCCUGGUAGAGGCUGGAGUUCCAAGUGCUCUGGUUGGAAAGGGAAAGAACUCAUUGUUGAAGGAAAUGCUUCUAGGCUUUGUCCAGUCUGGAUGGAGAUGGGGAAGAAUUCAACCAGUUUCCAGCAUCUCCCCUACCUUCCACGGGCCUUGUCUGAGUCUCCAUGCUCCCAUUCAGGGGCUUGCAUUAAGCUCUGGGCUCUUCCUCAGGCCCAAUCUCUGCUAGAAGAAAGCUGGUCUCUUGCCAUCAGUGCCCCAUGUCCUCUUUGGGGCUCAGAAGGUCCUAUAUUCUCUACCUGGAAGAUAGAAUGACCAAAUUCCACACAUUUAUCAAGACCUCCUAGGUUAAAGCCCCUCUGAGAAGCCUUCUCUGAUAUCUCUAGAACACAACGUCUCCCUGGCUUUCUGAAUCCCCCUGGCAUUUAUAGCCUAAGCUACAUAUGUUUUUGUGUAGUUUUAAUUUUUUCCCCUUAUAUCCAUUGGUCUUUAUCUCAUCAAUGAGCUUGGAAGAUGCUUGGGGACAAGAACUGUGCCUAGCACAAUUCUAACACAUAGGAGUUAGGAAAGCCCCUGUGGACUAAUAAUUUAGAUACAACUAUAAAGGCAUUUAUACAACUGACUUCAAAUACAAGUUGUCAUAAAAAUUCAACAGAAAAAAAAAGAAUUUGGGAGAACACACUAAAGUAUGUGGAAAAAAUCGAAGCCUAGUUCAAAAUGAUCCAGUUUAGUGAGUAGCAAAGUGGUACAGACUCGUUGCAAAUUUGUUCUUAAUUUCAUCCUCUAGCUCUGUGAUUCAUCUUUGCCAAUAGACUGUGUCUACAUAUAAGAGCUUUGGAUUCCUUCCAGCAAUCAUGGUCCAUCUAUGAGUACAAGUUAAGCUCUCCACCCACUGUGGGAAAAUUUCUUUUCACCAGCAACGGGAAUUGACAUAAGAAAAAUAAAAUUUAAAAUUUAAAUUGACAAAGCCAAAAUAAACUAUGGAAAUUAUUAAAAUUCUAAAGCCAAUUGAACACCAACAUUAAUAUUUUACCCAUCUGUGACUCCAAACAACUAAUUAAAAACCUCUAAUUUGUGACUCAAACUGGAAUUAGACCUAUAUGUGGCACACAUAUGCAAAUCACUGAUUUGGAAAUUGAUCGUCCAACAAUCUCACUAUCCAUACCAUACCCAAGAAACUGAAAAGAAGGGGAACUAAACCACUAAAUAGCCAGAAUUGAUGUUAUAUAAAGCUAUGCAUUUUGUGCACUGUAGAGUCCUUCUUACUCCAUGUCUGCUAAUUCAUAGUUUAGAUAUUGUAUUAACACGUAAUGGCAUCUGACCUCACCAAUUAGAUGCAGAAAACUAGAGGUGAGAUAGGAAAGCAGCAGUUGUUGAUGAAGCACAAUGAGAACAGGAAAAAGGGAGAGUAAGAGAGGACA
This 1790-nucleotide long non-coding RNA is filed under the name Homo sapiens (human). Its description in RNAcentral is "HSALNT0188518". The record is from RNAcentral. Lineage: Eukaryota; Metazoa; Chordata; Mammalia; Primates; Hominidae.